This 1058-nucleotide long non-coding RNA is filed under the name Olea europaea subsp. europaea. The record is from RNAcentral. Lineage: Eukaryota; Viridiplantae; Streptophyta; Magnoliopsida; Lamiales; Oleaceae.
UUUUAGGGUUACUCCGUCGGUUGUAGCUCAUGCUUUAGGUAUAUCUCAGAUUACCCAUCCGACUUAUCCCUAUAUUUUACCUACUUCUAUUCUGGCCGAUGCUCUUGUUCGGUCGACACUUUUGAACACCCCGUCUAUCGGGGGGCCUUCGGCGAUGGCCACGGGGUCAUUACCUACUAAUCGUCAGGUGUUGUUGCGCAUAGUGUGUACAAACCUGUGGCCGGUUGCCCAUACCUCUUCAUUACCUAUGGUGCAUGCCCGUUUUCUUUAUGCCCUUCUUCACGAGGACUCGAUCGACUUUCCUAGUUUUGUGUGCCAGAAUAUUCUGACUUCAUUUCGUAUUCCUGGGAGUCGGAUCGGGUUGCCUUAUGCUUGCUUGAUUCAUAGGGUUGCUUUGUCGUUGGGUGCUUCCUUUCCAGAGGGUUCGACUUGUCACAUAGGACGUCCGAUAGGACAGCAGACCAUUCAUCAGAGUCGAUCCCAUGUACCGCCAUCUUCCUCUUCUGCUCAUGCUACAGGUCAAACAGCGGCCGUUGAUGUUUUUGAUCUUUCAGAGCCCUUUGAUCCUAUUACUGAGAUUCUUACUGGGGGUUCCCGUGUGUUUCUCCUGCCUCGUACAGAUUUUCCUUCGGCCAUUCCACUUAGUUCUGCCUUUCCUUCGACAUCUACUUCUGCUCCUGGGGUGGCUGCUUUGCCCGUUGACCCCAUGGUGACGCUUAUGGUACGGAUGUCUACUUUGGUCGAGUAGCAGGCUCGUAUAAUGGCAGAGAUCACGUAGUUACGUGCUGCGUCGGAGCGUCAGUCAGCUGAGCUUUCUUCUUUUCACCGUGCUCUUGCAGUGUGUCAGCGUCAUUUGCGUUGGAUUCGUGAUAGUAUGGAGGAAGACACGAGUGCUGAGAGCGGAGCUGAGUCUUCAGAUGCUGGAGGUGCGGCCUCGUAGUUAGUUAGUUAAUUGUUUUGAUCCUUUGUCCUUUGUGACAAAAAGGGGGAGUAGAUAUUUGGAUAGAUGAUUGGAUAGAUAGAUAUCGAUAUUUAGAUAGAUAGAUAUAAAUUUUUUG